AAUUGGAGGAGGUGUGAGAAACUCAUAGACCCAAUAAAGUGAUUAAAGGCUUCGUUCUAUGAAACCCACAGAGCUGCCCCACAGUUCAGUUCAGUAGUGGCUCAUAGUUAAACAAAACUCUUGAUUCUGUCUUCAAAUAUACAGACCUGUGACUUAUCCUGUAUGAGGCCAUGAUGUUUAAUUUGUCUUUAAUUUGAAUUAAUUAAUGCAGCGACUCGUUCCAGUUCUGCAACUAAUGAUUAUGUUCUAGACUUAAUGAUUCUGUUUAUUUUGCUACAGUAUGAACUAAUUCAGUCUGUGUUGUUGUCUAUACACUCAGUUCAUUGGGAGUUCAUUAUGUAAAACUAACAGAGUCUAAUAAACAGUCCUGCUGCCCAUUGGUAUUCACAAUUUAUCUUAUCAUGGUGAUUAUUUCUUGAAUCAGAUGUUUUUAGGACUGGAUAUUACUUAGCCUAGUUCCAGUUGGAUGGGACACAGGCCAGUGCUGGACCAUUGGCUGUUCAAUGUGAUGGUGUACCAGCCUCUUGGUUGUUUGAACCGAUGGAGCCACGUGGAGGAGCACUGGCGGCCUCACCCAGAUCUUCUGCUUCUUAGCUGUGGAGCCUUCGCAGUAGAGCCAAUACAGAUGGGAUAUCCAGCCUCACGAGUCUGCUUGGAUGAUUAUAUGUGGUGCCAGGGCAGAAGGUGUCUGCCAAGAAAGGAGCCUGCUUUUUCUCACUAUAUGAGAAACCAACAUGGAUGGAUACAGCAGCCUAGGCACCAGGACAUUCUUUCUGAAAGUAUCUUCAAGCUCUGGUGCAGUAGUCCUCAGGAACCAGACCCCGCAAGAGGUCAUUAUGUCGGUUGGUUUAUUAGCUAAAGGGAACUGUGUUUGUUUAACUCGGGAAUAAAAAACUCUCCAAUUAAGCA
Molecule: long non-coding RNA, 909 nt
Filed under: Betta splendens (Siamese fighting fish)
Lineage: Eukaryota; Metazoa; Chordata; Actinopteri; Anabantiformes; Osphronemidae
Description: lncRNA (ENSBSLG00000005483.1)
Source: RNAcentral